UACGUAGGGUGCGAGCGUUAAUCGGAAUUACUGGGCGUAAAGCGUGCGCAGGCGGUUUUGUAAGCCAGAUGUGAAAGCCCCGGGCUUAACCUGGGAAUGGCAUUUGGGACUGCAAGGCUGGAGUGUGGCAGAGGAGACUGGAAUUCCUGGUGUAGCAGUGAAAUGCGUAGAUAUCAGGAGGAAUACCGAUGGCGAAGGCGGUUCUCUGGGCCUUACCUGACGCUGAGGAGCGAAAGCGUGGGGAGCGAACAGG
This 253-nucleotide ribosomal RNA is filed under the name uncultured bacterium. RNAcentral describes it as "partial 16S ribosomal RNA". It matches the Rfam family "Bacterial small subunit ribosomal RNA", at positions 524 to 776 of the family's 1533-position model. The record is from RNAcentral.